RNAcentral lists this long non-coding RNA (437 nucleotides) under Ictidomys tridecemlineatus (thirteen-lined ground squirrel). RNAcentral describes it as "lncRNA (ENSSTOG00000030997.1)". Lineage: Eukaryota; Metazoa; Chordata; Mammalia; Rodentia; Sciuridae. The record is from RNAcentral.
AAUAGCUAUAUCGAAACCUUAUCUACCAUGGAAAUCUAAAGAAGUCAAACCUGGGUAGCUCUCCACUGCUGCAUCCUGUUCAUCAUGGAGGUUCCUGCCUUUCCUGUAAAGAAUGUCCUUGACAUUGGGCUUUAAAAAGCAUAAGACCUUGUAUUGCAACUAACAUUUUGGAUAACUUCACUGAUUAAUCAUUGGAACUCAGUUCACCUCAGGAGCUUAUGUCAUGAAAUGAUUAUAAACUUCUAAUGCUUUCCAAAAGGACAAAAAUAUGUUUUUAGGACAACAUGAUUAUAAACAUGCCAUUUUAAUAGUCCAUGGCAGAAAAUAAGAUGGUUUGGAUUUUCUGGUAAUUAAAAUGAAAAUAAAAUUUUUUAGAUGGUUUAUGUCAAUGUAAUUUAAAUACCUGUUAAAAUAUGUUAUAGUUUGUUUUAAUACUA